This 497-nucleotide ribosomal RNA is filed under the name uncultured bacterium. RNAcentral's name for it is "partial 16S ribosomal RNA". It matches the Rfam family "Bacterial small subunit ribosomal RNA", at positions 28 to 507 of the family's 1533-position model. The record is from RNAcentral.
GAUGAACGCUGGCGGCGUGCCUAAUACAUGCAAGUCGAGCGAACAGACGAGGAGCUUGCUUCUCUGACGUUAGCGGCGGACGGGUGAGUAACACGUGGAUAACCUACCUAUAAGACUGGGAUAACUUCGGGAAACCGGAGCUAAUACCGGCUAAUAUUUUGAACCGCAUGGUUCAAGAGUGAAAGACGGUUUUGCUGUCACUUAUAGAUGGAUCCGCGCGGCAUUAGCUAGUUGGUAAGGUAACGGCUUACCAAGGCAACGAUGCUUACCCGACCUGAGAGGGUGACCGGCCACACUGGACCUGAGCCACGGUCCAGACCCCUAGGGGAGGCAGCAGUAGGGAAUCUUCCGCAAUGGGGGAAAGCUUGACGGAGCAACGCCGCGGGAGUGAUGAAGGUCUUCGGAUCUUAAAACCCUGUUAUUAGGGAAGAACAAAUGUGUAAGUAACUGUGCACAUCUUGACGGUACCUAAUCAGAAAGCCAGGGCUAACUACGUG